Molecule: ribosomal RNA, 434 nt
Filed under: uncultured bacterium
Lineage: Bacteria
Description: partial 16S ribosomal RNA
Rfam family: Bacterial small subunit ribosomal RNA
Source: RNAcentral
ACGGGAGGCAGCAGUGGGGGAUAUUGCACAAUGGGGGAAACCCUGAUGCAGCGACGCCGCGUGAGUGAUGAAGUAUUUCGGUAUGUAAAGCUCUAUCAGCAGGAAAGAUAAUGACGGUACCUGACUAAGAAGCACCGGCUAAAUACGUGCCGGCAGCCGCGGUAAUACGUAUGGUGCAAGCGUUAUCCGGAUUUACUGGGUGUAAAGGGAGCGCAGACGGCAUGGCAAGCCAGAUGUGAAAUGCGGGGGCUCAACUCCUGAACUGCAUUUGGAACUGUCAAGCUAGAGUAUCGGAGAGGUAAGUGGAAUUCCUAGUGUAGCGGUGAAAUGCGUAGAUAUUAGGAGGAACACCAGUGACGAAGGCGGCUUACUGGACGAUAACUGACGUUGAGGCUCGAAAGCGUGGGGAGCAAACAGGAUUAGAUACCCUGGUA